ACACGACUACAUUAGAUACCCGCGUAGUCCUAGCCGUAAACGAUACUCGCUAGGUGUCGGCCACGGUGCGACCGUUGUCGGUGCCGUAGGGAAGCCGUGAAGCGAGCCACCUGGGAAGUACGGCCGCAAGGCUGAAACUUAACGGAAUUGGCGGGGGAGCACCACAACGGGUGGAGCUUGCGGUUUAAUUGGAUUCAACGCCGGAAAUCUUACCGGGACCGACAGCAACAUGAAGGCCAGGCUGAAGACUUUGCCGGAUUAGCUG
RNAcentral lists this ribosomal RNA (265 nucleotides) under uncultured archaeon. Its description in RNAcentral is "partial 16S ribosomal RNA". It matches the Rfam family "Archaeal small subunit ribosomal RNA", at positions 717 to 982 of the family's 1478-position model. The record is from RNAcentral.